Molecule: long non-coding RNA, 1151 nt
Organism: Alligator mississippiensis (American alligator)
Lineage: Eukaryota; Metazoa; Chordata; Crocodylia; Alligatoridae
Exons: 3
Source: RefSeq, a predicted model, not a curated record
UCUCCUCCCUUCUGUGGGAUGGCCUCCUUUGCUCUGGCUGCGAUAAGUUUGUUUUCUUCUCUCUCACACCCUGGGCUACUGCUAUGCUCAGUGUUUUUCUGCUUUGAUACCUGCAUUUAUUUUCUUAUUUCUCUCCUGAGGUCAGCCGCCAUUCUUUCUUCAUCCAAAGCAGGCCUGAAGAGCUCAGCUAUAUGACAGUGCACGUCUUGAAUGGUUCCACCCUCCUCCAGAAGCCACAUGUGUGCCCUCCUACCUCACACCUGCAGUGCAGAUGUCAAGGUGAAGAGUCCACAGGUUUCUGCUAGCUGGGAACCACUUUAUGCCUAAAUUACAUGAGGAUAUGCAGCAGCAACUGGGGAGGUAGCCUGUCAGGACAUGCCUUCAUGUCGGUUUUAUAUAAACAAGAGUUUUAUGGCCUGCUUGAACAGAGUUUCCAUUAUAGAGACCUUUCCUUGAAAUUCCGGCAGCUACAUAUACUGAAUGCUAUCUCUGCCAUCGUGACCGUCUGCUACCUGUGUUGACAAACUCUGUACAUCCUCAGCACAUUAAAAUGGCUCUGGCUAAGAGCACUGAGAUGAGAUCAAGCUGGAGAAACCUCUGACAAAACACAGGCUGGAAUUCCUGCUUCUGAGAGGGAAGAACCUGGUAGAUGAGAGGGAGAUAAGAACAUCUGCCCUUGAAAGUGAAACCAUCUCCUUCUAGAGAGAGUGGUUGGGAAACAGCAGGUGGGAAAUGUUGUUUAAAAACCACCUCCAAGUACCCCAUCCCCUAAGGGGCUCCUGCCACUCAGAUUACAGCCCCUAGCACAAGUUCUUCAGGGAGAGUCACACCUCUCCACUCCUUCAGGUUAGCCAGCCUGCACUGGGGAGUGUUUUAAAUGAUUGGCCUAGAAAUGGUGAAGCUGAAUGAGAAUAGCAGAAAAAAAGGAAAACUUGUAGCAACCAUUUCCAGUCUAUUUGUUUAGUAGCUCUAGAAAGUCACCUGGAAACUCUAGAAAGAGAAAAUACUUUGUGAGGAUUGGGUGGGAACACUUCAGUAACCACUUUGUACCCAUGCAUCUAGUUACAUUCAAUUUAUAUAACAUUUACAGAGCCAGAAAGGAAAGCAGACAUAAGCUUCCUGAGGAUUUAAUAAAGUGUUCAGUAUACACA